AGCCGUGUGAUGAAUGCAAAGCGAACUAUUCUUUCGCCUUUUACUAAAGAAUACAGUGUAUUCGUCACCUUCAAACGGCAUACGAUAAUUUUUUAAAGGGUCCAAUCGUAUGUG
Abrus precatorius (Indian licorice) is the source of this 114-nucleotide small nuclear RNA. RefSeq annotates it as U5 spliceosomal RNA. The transcript has a single exon. Lineage: Eukaryota; Viridiplantae; Streptophyta; Magnoliopsida; Fabales; Fabaceae. The record is from RefSeq and is a predicted model, not a curated record.